RNAcentral lists this small nuclear RNA (309 nucleotides) under Propithecus coquereli (Coquerel's sifaka). RNAcentral's name for it is "7SK RNA (ENSPCOG00000008836.1)". It matches the Rfam family "7SK RNA". From Rfam's summary of the family: 7SK was discovered as an abundant small nuclear RNA in the mid-70s but a possible function has only recently been suggested. The record is from Rfam by way of RNAcentral. Lineage: Eukaryota; Metazoa; Chordata; Mammalia; Primates; Indriidae.
GGAUGUGAGGGCAAUCUAGAUGCGACAUCUGCCACUCCAUUGAUUGCCAGGCUUGAUUCAGCUAAUCUUGCUGGCUAGGCAGAUUUUCCUUUCCUCUCACCACUCCAUGUACAUCCCUCUUGAAGCUUGCAUUGUGUCGAAGAGGAUGACCUUCCCUGAUAGAGGAGGACUGUUCUGCAGUAAGGGUGUACAAGUAGCUGUGCUCCUCUGCUAGAGCCUCCAAACAAGCUCUCGAGAUGCUGGUGUGGCAGAAUUCCAGUACCAGUUCUAAACUCUAGAGGUAAUGUUCACAGUUACUAAGUCUUGUCU